GACGAACGCUGGCGGCGUGCUUAACACAUGCAAGUCGAACGGUGAAGCGCUUGCCUUUUUGGUGGGUGUGGAUGAGUGGCGAACGGGUGAGUAACACGUGAGUAACCCGCCCUCUUCUUCUGGAUAACCUCAUGAAAGUGGGGCUAAUACGGGGUAUUCCGGGUCUGUCGCAUGGCGGGUUUGGGAAAGAUUGCGCCUUUGGGUGUUUUCGGUGGGGGAUGGGCUCGCGGCCUAUCAGCUUGUUGGUGGGGUGAUGGCCUACCAAGGCGGUGACGGGUAGCCGGCCUGAGAGGGUGGACGGCCACACUGGGACUGAGACACGGCCCAGACUCCUGCGGGAGGCAGCAGUGGGGAAUAUUGCGCAAUGGGCGCAAGCCUGAUGCAGCGACGCCGCGUGAGGGAUGGAGGCCUUCGGGUUGUGAACCUCUUUCGCCAGUGAAGCAGGCCUGCUCCUGUGUGGGUGGGUUGACGGUAGCUGGAUAAGAAGCGCCGGCUAACUACGUG
Molecule: ribosomal RNA, 504 nt
Filed under: uncultured bacterium
Lineage: Bacteria
Description: partial 16S ribosomal RNA
Rfam family: Bacterial small subunit ribosomal RNA
Source: RNAcentral